This 78-nucleotide microRNA precursor is filed under the name Ictidomys tridecemlineatus (thirteen-lined ground squirrel). Its description in RNAcentral is "microRNA 544a (ENSSTOG00000025695.2)". It matches the Rfam family "mir-544 microRNA precursor family". The record is from RNAcentral. Lineage: Eukaryota; Metazoa; Chordata; Mammalia; Rodentia; Sciuridae.
CAGCUAGGGAUCUUGUUAAAAAGCAGAUUCUGAUUCAGGGACCAAGAUUCUGCAUUUUUAGCAAGUUCUCAAGUGAUG